ACCAUCCACUAUAAAUUGGUACUCAUCAGCAGUGGCGCAUGCAAUUCCCCACGUACCAAAUUCGGCUGUAAACAUGAUGAGGCAGCAGCCAACUAUUGGAGUGAUACUAGUCCUGCAGCUUCUGACGCUAAUUUCUGCGUUUGGACUACCAGUCAACCACCAACUAGUAGUGUCUCCAAGCGGUGCCACUUUCGCAGGCAGAAAAUGUGUCUUCUCUAAAGGAGGUGGUACUGGUGGACUCUUUGGAGGCGGUGGUGGCCUAGGAGGCGGUGGUGGCCUAGGAGGCUUAGGAGGCGGUGGUGGCCUAGGAGGCUUAGGAGGCGGCGGUGGCCUAGGAGGCUUAGGAGGCGGUGGCGGUGGAAGCUUUGGGAGUAACGGCGGAGAAAGUGGGGGCAGCGGAAAUGGCGGUGGUGAAAGUGCUGGCGGGGGUAAUGGAAGCGGUAACGGUGGUGGUGGUGGGGGCGGUGGAAGCAGCAAGGGUGGGGGCGGGUGGGCUGCAGCGGUGGUGGUAAUAAUGGCGGUGGGUAUGGAGGAGGAGGCAACAAUGGCGAUGGAAGUUCUGGAUCGGGAUAUGGAUAUGGAUACGGUGGUGGUGGUGGUGGUCGAUCGAGAUAGAGGAGGCAUUUGGAAUGGGGAAGGAUAUGAAGUAAGUUUAUGAAAUGAACGAGAGAUCGAGCUACUUACUAGAUGAUAUGAAUCUAUAAAUGUGACUGUGGGAGGGCAAGAUAAAAUGAGUACGUGCGUGAGUAAUAAUACAAUGUCCCGCAAUAAAAGAAAUUUGAGUGUUCAUGAUGAUGAAGUUAGGUUAGUUGGCACCUAAUAAUAAUACAUAUAAAAAAUUGUUUGCCGAAACAAAAUAUGGAAUUAGAAUAUGAGCCUGCCGAAUUUUAAAUAAAAUCGGGUAAUUUGUCCCUUUUGCGUUUUACCAAGCUCACAAACAAGGCAGUCUAUUAAGCAAUGCUUAUUUUACUAGCUCAUACUUUGACCAACUUCACAAUUGCGUACUCAACCCCUCGCUUAAUCUUCCUACCAAGCAGAGCCACAUCAUCAAUUCAGGCCACAUGGCCGUCGAGAAAUAUCAUAUUUUU
RNAcentral lists this long non-coding RNA (1088 nucleotides) under Linum usitatissimum (flax). RNAcentral describes it as "long non-coding RNA (LUSI_LNC003331)". The record is from RNAcentral. Lineage: Eukaryota; Viridiplantae; Streptophyta; Magnoliopsida; Malpighiales; Linaceae.